This 2375-nucleotide long non-coding RNA is filed under the name Homo sapiens (human). RNAcentral describes it as "non-protein coding lnc-TOMM70-4:2". Lineage: Eukaryota; Metazoa; Chordata; Mammalia; Primates; Hominidae. The record is from RNAcentral.
AGUGCGCCUGUAACACCAGGACGGACCAACGAGAAAUGGUUAAUUGCAACACAGUCCGGAAAAAGCAUGCCUCGAAAGGCAAAGGGCAAAAGGGAACGGCCUAAGUCGAGGUGGUGUGCUGGUGAAUGUCUUAACAACCAGACUUUUCAGGGAGGAAAGCCCUGAUUUGUAGCGUUUGCUGAUUCUCCGCAAAAGGACUGAACUUCUAGCUGGUUGAAUCACCUCUGUGGCCAGGUUAACACCGUAUGCUGAUGGGCUUGAGCUAUUUGAACAAGUCUCUGUGACGGGGACGGAAUGACCCUGGUUGGUUUAGGCACGCGAGACGUCUGUAAAAUCUGACUACAAGGCUGCUAGGCCAACGGGAAAGAUGCUGAGGGUUCAACGCCAUGCCCUCAACAAGUCAGUCCUCGAAUACAUUGUCAUCUCUUUGCUAAUCACAACAAUCAUCAUCACAGAAGAAUUCUGGGACCAAAUGUGAGGGGGUUCCUCCCUACCACCAAGCAGCGGACACCAGCUGGGUAUCCUCCUAUUCAAUUCCAACACUGUCUACCUGAGGAAGACACACCGGCACCAGUCAUAUGUCUUGGACUCCAGAACUUCUGACCAACCACUUUCAAGUUGGGGUUGCCAUGAUCCCAUCUUUGGGUUUGAAUAACUUGCUGGAGCAGCUCACAGAACUCAUGGAAACAUGUUUCCUGGUUUAUUAUAAAGGAUGUUGCAAAGGCUACAAGGAAGAGAUGUGUAGGGCAAAGUAUGGGAGGAGGGGCACAAAGCUUCCAUGCCCUCCAGAACCUCCACGAACGUGGUCAGCUAUCUAGAAGCUCUCCAAACCCAGUUCUAUUGGCCUUUAUGGGAACUUUAUGUUAUCAGCAUUCCUUCCUCCAAGGGAUGGGGCAGGAGCUCUCAGGAGGUAUUUAAGACCCACAAUCAGCAAGAUUAGAGUUCUGCCUUGGGGCAGGUGAAAGGAGAGCAGGAGAGGCCAGAGAGAUUCUGUUUCCUGAGGCCUGCCCCUGAGGCCUAACACAACUGGCAUUAUAACAAAAGACUUAACAAGGCUAUGGGAGUCAGGGACCGUGCUUGAAAAUGUGUGUAUGUAUGUGUGUGUAUACCUCGUAACACCACAAUACGCAAGUGACUUACAGCAGUCAGAAAUUAGGGGCUGAAAAUCAGAAUUGCAGUCAUUUGCAAAGAAUAAGAGAAGAAAUCUAUGAGUAGAUGCAAUCGGAGAAGGAAAGAGUAUACUACAGAAAGCAAAGGAUCAAACUUGGGAAUUAUCAUAUUGGGUUAGAACUGUGUACAGGGAGGAGUCAAAGAGUGUGUAUGCAUCUAAAUAUACACAUAAAUGCAUAGAUACACAGAAUUUUUAAAUUUCUGAUGCAGUUCUCUGCAAAUCAGGAGACCUGAGUUCAAAACUUUGCUGACACACCAUGUAACUUUGGACAAGUUACUUAACGUUGGGAGACCAAUUUAAUAUACCCACGUGGGUUAGACAGGUAACUGAGUAAAGCUGGCAACCUGAAGAGAAAAGCAAACACUGAGAAGGCCACUAGCUCUCGCCUGCUGUUUCCAGGACAGCAAACAGCAAAGAGGUGGCACAGUAUAGCAGUUAUAACCAUGAACUCUUUUGUGUGGAUGUUAAGUUUUCAUUUCCCUAGGGUAAAUACCUAGGAGAGGGAUUGCCGGGUUGUAUAGUAAACAUAUGUUUAUUUACAAGAAAUGGCCAAACUGUUGUCUAGAGUGUCUGUACCAUUUUGUACACCCACCAGCAAUGUAUGAAUGUUCUAGUUAUUCCAUAUCCUCACCAGCACUUGGUAUUGUCAUUUUUUGUUUUUAAUUUUAGCCAUUCUAACUGGUGUGGUUUUGAUUUACAUUUCCCCAACAGCUAAUGAUGAUCUUUUCACAUGCCUAUUUGCCACCCAUCUUUCUCUGAAGAAUUGCUUCUUUUCCCCAUUGUUUUGUUUUCUUAUUGUUGUAGUGAAAAUCUUUAUAUAUUCUGAACACAAAUCCUUUGUUGGUAUGUUUUGCAAGUACAGUAUUUUUCCCCAGUAUGUAGCUUGUCUUUCCCUUCUAUUAAGUGUCUUUUGCAGAGCAAAAUUUUUAAAUUUAAGAUUUUUUUUUUUUUUUUUUUGAGAUGGAGUCUCUCUCUGUCACCCAGGCCGGAGUGCAGUGGUGAUCUCGGCUCACUGCAACCUCUGCCUCCCAGAGUCAAGUGAUUCUCUUAUCUCAGCCUCCCAAGUAGCUGGGAUUACAGGCGCACGCCACCAAGCCCGACUAAUUUUUGUAUUUUUAGUAGAGAGGGGGUUUCACCUUGCAGGCCAGGCUGGUCUCAAACUCCUGACCUCGUGAUCUGCCCGUCUCGGCCUCCCAAAGUGCUG